Long non-coding RNA from Adelges cooleyi (spruce gall adelgid), 472 nucleotides. RefSeq lists it as uncharacterized. The transcript is spliced from 3 exons. Lineage: Eukaryota; Metazoa; Arthropoda; Insecta; Hemiptera; Adelgidae. The record is from RefSeq and is a predicted model, not a curated record.
UUCAGCGGCAAUAGUCGUUCUAUUCUACACGUACUUCAUUGGAUUUCAAUUAUUUUAAAAACUAUUAUGCAUUUUAAAAGUGUUGUUAUUUUCUACGCGGUGUAUUUCUUUACAUCAGUAUGGAGCACCGGACUAAAUAAGGAGCAAAUAGAAAAAUGUAUUUUACUAUACAAAUAUCCGAUUAAUAUCCCACACAGUAAGAAGGAGGAUUUUGGAAUUAAAUAUCCGAAUAUUGAUUUUGAAUGGAAAUUUAACCAGCCACGUCAUUUCAAUAUUAAGAAUUUAGUUUUGGCGUUAGCGUAUGAAGGAACAAAUGACAACUUUGAGAAUCGAAUGCUGACGUCCUUUGAAGUAGAUUAUUACGUCAAAAUGUUUUAUGAAUAUACCAUAAAUUUAAAACGAUGGCUUACUCGUGAAGAUAUAGUAAAUUUUUAUACAUACUUAAAAUUUGAAGGAGAACAAUUAUAUCAGG